RNAcentral lists this long non-coding RNA (337 nucleotides) under Gossypium barbadense (sea-island cotton). Its description in RNAcentral is "long non-coding RNA (GBAR_LNC011187)". The record is from RNAcentral. Lineage: Eukaryota; Viridiplantae; Streptophyta; Magnoliopsida; Malvales; Malvaceae.
UCGCCAGGUGCGUACGGUUCAGGAUGUGGCUCUUCAUGUCAACCUUGUAGAAAACGCUUCGUCACAGGCGAUGGAAGGAUAUCUUCGUGGUGGUUGUCCUCCGUUUGGUGGCCGAGGGAGAGGCUUUCGAUCCCUCAUACAGUGUCAGAUCUGCGGAAGGUUUGGGCAUUUAGCCCAACGCUACUUUUACCUCUAUAAUAGUGAGUAUGAUGGCUCACAGUCGAUGGCUCGAGCGUCGCAUCCAGGAGAUCGGCCUGCUCCUAAUUUUUCCUUUUCGUUGCUGGCCUCUGGUCUUCCUAAUGGCCCUCUUUCGGCUGUGCCACAAGGUGUUUUUUCG